Molecule: ribosomal RNA, 459 nt
Filed under: uncultured bacterium
Lineage: Bacteria
Description: partial 16S ribosomal RNA
Rfam family: Bacterial small subunit ribosomal RNA
Source: RNAcentral
CCUACGGGCGGCAGCAGUGAGGAAUAUUGGUCAAUGGGCGGAAGCCUGAACCAGCCAAGUAGCGUGCGGGAUGAAGGCCCUACGGGUCGUAAACCGCUUUUGUACGGGGAUAACACCCUCCACUUGUGGAGGCAUGCAGGUACCGUACGAAUAAGGGCCGGCUAAUUCCGUGCCAGCAGCCGCGGUAAUACGGAAGGCGCGAGCGUUAUCCGGAUUCAUUGGGUUUAAAGGGAGCGUAGGCGGGCGUUCAAGUCAGCUGUAAAAUCGCGGGGCUCAACCGCGCCCCGCAGUUGAAACUGGACACCUUGAGUGCACAAGAGGCAGGCGGAAUUCGUGGUGUAGCGGUGAAAUGCAUAGAGAUCACGAGGAACCCCGAUUGCGAAGGCAGCCUGCCGGGGUGCGACUGACGCUGAGGCUCGAAGGUGCGGGUAUCAAACAGGAUUAGAUACCCUUGUAGUC